UGCAAAUGAUGUUUUUCUCACGAUGGUCUUCCUAGCUUAAGCUCUGACGAUAGUGCCUUUGGCAAAUACUGAUGCGGCUUC
Small nucleolar RNA from Gasterosteus aculeatus aculeatus (three-spined stickleback), 81 nucleotides. The record is from Ensembl. Lineage: Eukaryota; Metazoa; Chordata; Actinopteri; Perciformes; Gasterosteidae.